RNAcentral lists this ribosomal RNA (481 nucleotides) under uncultured bacterium. RNAcentral's name for it is "bacterial SSU rRNA". It matches the Rfam family "Bacterial small subunit ribosomal RNA", at positions 903 to 1397 of the family's 1533-position model. The record is from RNAcentral.
AAAGGAAUAGACGGGUCCCCGCACAAGCAGCGGAGCGUGUGGUUUAAUUCGAUGCUCCGCGAAGAACCUUACCUGGGUUUGACAUAACAGUGGUAGAGAAGUGAAAACGGACCGACCCUUCGGGGAGCUGUUACAGGUGUUGCAUGGCUGUCGUCAGCUCGUGUCGUGAGAUGUUCGGUUAAGUCCGCUAACGAGCGCAACCCGCGCUGUGUGUUACAAGUGUCACACAGUACCGCCGGUAUUAAGUCGGAGGAAGGUGCGGAUGACGUCAAGUCAGCAUGACCUUUAUAUCCAGGGCUACACACACGCUACAAUGGUCAGCACAAUAGGUUGCCAAGCCGCAAGGCGGAGCCAAUCCUCCAAAGCUGGCCUCAGUUCAGAUUGCAGGCUGCAACUCGCCUGCAUGAAGUCGGAGUUGCUAGUAACCGCAGGUCAGCAUACUGCGGUGAAUACGUUCCCGGGGAUUGUACACACCGCCCGU